This 449-nucleotide ribosomal RNA is filed under the name uncultured bacterium. Its description in RNAcentral is "partial 16S ribosomal RNA". It matches the Rfam family "Bacterial small subunit ribosomal RNA", at positions 338 to 795 of the family's 1533-position model. The record is from RNAcentral.
CCUACGGGGGGCUGCAGUGGGGAAUUUUGGACAAUGGGCGCAAGCCUGAUCCAGCCAUGCCGCGUGCGGGAAGAAGGCCUUCGGGUUGUAAACCGCUUUUGUCAGGGAAGAAAUUGCUCGGGCUAAUACCCUGGGCCGAUGACGGUACCUGAAGAAUAAGCACCGGCUAACUACGUGCCAGCAGCCGCGGUAAUACGUAGGGUGCGAGCGUGCGUCGGAAGUACUGGGCGUAAAGUGCGCGCAAGCGGUCAAAUCCCCGGGCUCAACCUGGGAACUGCAUUUGUGACUGCACGGCUUGAGUACGGUAGAGGAGGAUGGAAUUCCGCGUGUAGCAGUGAAAUGCGUAGAUAUGCGGAGGAACACCGAUGGCGAAGGCAGUCCCCUGGGCCUGUACUGACGCUCAUGCACGAAAGCGUGGGGAGCAAACAGGAUUAGAUACCCCUGUAGUC